RNAcentral lists this ribosomal RNA (1212 nucleotides) under Bacillus sp. (in: firmicutes). Its description in RNAcentral is "bacterial SSU rRNA". It matches the Rfam family "Bacterial small subunit ribosomal RNA", at positions 36 to 1244 of the family's 1533-position model. The record is from RNAcentral. Lineage: Bacteria; Bacillati; Bacillota; Bacilli; Caryophanales; Bacillaceae.
CUGGAUUAGGGGGCUAAACAGCAGUCGAGCGGACAGAUGGGAGCUUGCUCCCUGAUGUUAGCGGCGGACGGGUGAGUAACACGUGGGUAACCUGCCUGUAAGACUGGGAUAACUCCGGGAAACCGGGGCUAAUACCGGAUGGUUGUUUGAACCGCAUGGUUCAGACAUAAAAGGUGGCUUCGGCUACCACUUACAGAUGGACCCGCGGCGCAUUAGCUAGUUGGUGAGGUAACGGCUCACCAAGGCGACGAUGCGUAGCCGACCUGAGAGGGUGAUCGGCCACACUGGGACUGAGACACGGCCCAGACUCCUACGGGAGGCAGCAGUAGGGAAUCUUCCGCAAUGGACGAAAGUCUGACGGAGCAACGCCGCGUGAGUGAUGAAGGUUUUCGGAUCGUAAAGCUCUGUUGUUAGGGAAGAACAAGUGCCGUUCAAAUAGGGCGGCACCUUGACGGUACCUAACCAGAAAGCCACGGCUAACUACGUGCCAGCAGCCGCGGUAAUACGUAGGUGGCAAGCGUUGUCCGGAAUUAUUGGGCGUAAAGGGCUCGCAGGCGGUUUCUUAAGUCUGAUGUGAAAGCCCCCGGCUCAACCGGGGAGGGUCAUUGGAAACUGGGGAACUUGAGUGCAGAAGAGGAGAGUGGAAUUCCACGUGUAGCGGUGAAAUGCGUAGAGAUGUGGAGGAACACCAGUGGCGAAGGCGACUCUCUGGUCUGUAACUGACGCUGAGGAGCGAAAGCGUGGGGAGCGAACAGGAUUAGAUACCCUGGUAGUCCACGCCGUAAACGAUGAGUGCUAAGUGUUAGGGGGUUUCCGCCCCUUAGUGCUGCAGCUAACGCAUUAAGCACUCCGCCUGGGGAGUACGGUCGCAAGACUGAAACUCAAAGGAAUUGACGGGGCCCGCACAAGCGGUGGAGCAUGUGGUUUAAUUCGAAGCAACGCGAAGAACCUUACCAGGUCUUGACAUCCUCUGACAUCCUAGAGAUAGGACGUCCCCUUUCGGGGCAGAGUGACAGGUGGUGCAUGGUUGUCGUCAGCUCGUGUCGUGAGAUGUGGUUAAGUCCCGCCAACGGAGCGCACCCUUGAUCUUAGUGCCAGCAAUCAGUGGCACUCUAAGGUGACUGCCGGUGACAACCGGAGAAGUUGGGGAUGACGUCCAAUCAUCAUGGCCCUUAGACCUGGCACCACGGGCAUUCAAUGGAUCAUGAGAAC